This 24-nucleotide non-coding RNA is filed under the name Arabidopsis thaliana (thale cress). Lineage: Eukaryota; Viridiplantae; Streptophyta; Magnoliopsida; Brassicales; Brassicaceae. The record is from RNAcentral.
GAAAGUUGGUCAACUCUCUCCAUA